GGGUCAGUAGGUUGGUCGUGCCACCGGUACGUACUGGUCUCACUGAUUCCUCCUUCCUGAAGAACCGUAAUGCCAUUAAUUUGGUGUUGCGGGGAAACAGGACUAUUACUUUGGAAAAAUUAGAGUGUUUAAAGCAAGCUAACGCUUGAAUACAUUAGCAUGGAAUAAUGAAAUAGGACGAUCGAUCCUAUUUUGUUGGUUUCUAGGAUUGACGUA
This 216-nucleotide ribosomal RNA is filed under the name Glomeromycotina sp. RNAcentral's name for it is "partial small subunit ribosomal RNA". The stretch from base 40 to 216 matches the Rfam family "Eukaryotic small subunit ribosomal RNA", at positions 686 to 864 of the family's 1831-position model. The record is from RNAcentral. Lineage: Eukaryota; Fungi; Glomeromycota.